AUGCCCAUUUUACCACAAGUUGAUAUGGUUCCUUGGGGUCUUAAUGAAAUGUCUGUAACAUAUUUUGGUCAAAAUACCACAAGGAUCAUUAUUAAUGGCAUCCUUUUUACCCUGCCAAACACAGCCAUUCUGUCAGCGAGCUGUUUUGAGCGCUUAUGCUAAUGAGCCAGCUAACCCCUCCUCCCCCCUCCUCUACGGUUUUGGGCUAAUCAUUCUAACCUUUUAGUUUUUAGCUACUCAUUCUUACCAAGUUUAGUUUUGUAAAAUAUGGCGACUGGAUACGAGAUUGUUCAGACCCUGAACAAGAAGAGGCUCCCAAACAAGUUCGAGAAUUUAGGGUACAACAGGACGUUUCUGAAUGGCGUAAUUGUGCCAAGUGUGAGCAAAUGCCUACAGAGCCUGAGAAUGGAUGCUGCAGGGAGAUGCCACAGGUAACAAGAAGACUACUGCAGCUUCCAAACCAACCAACGUGCAUCAUCCGGGACUUUUAGCUGUGUGAUUGAAUGUGUUCUCACUACAGAAUGCAUUCAACAUCUAUAGAGCAGACUAUGGGCCUUAUGUCUAAGGGGAAUAUAGCAGUAAGUUGUUUUGUUUUUUAUGCAUACGAGUCAUCAGUGAUUUCUGCAAUACAAAUAUAACUGGGGA
Molecule: long non-coding RNA, 645 nt
Organism: Clupea harengus (Atlantic herring)
Lineage: Eukaryota; Metazoa; Chordata; Actinopteri; Clupeiformes; Clupeidae
Source: Ensembl